ACAACCGUGAUUCCGGGAGUAGUGGCGAGCGAAACCGGAUGAGGCCAAACCGUAUGCGUGUGAGACCCGGCAGGGGUUGCGUAUGCGGGGUUGUGGGAUCUCUCUUCUGUUGUCUGCCGGCAACAGGACGAGUCAGAAACCGUUGAUAUAGGCGAAGGACAUGCGAAAGGUCCGGCGUAGAGGGUAAGACCCCCGUAGUCGAAAUGUCAGCGGCUCGUUUGAGAGACACCCAAGUAGCACGGGGCCCGAGAAAUCCCGUGUGAAUCUGGCGGGACCACCCGCUAAGCCUAAAUAUUCCCUGGUGACCGAUAGCGGAUAGUACCGUGAGGGAAUGGUGAAAAGUACCCCGGGAGGGGAGUGAAAUAGUACCUGAAACCGUGUGCCUACAAGCCGUGGGAGCGUCGGA
This 406-nucleotide ribosomal RNA is filed under the name Streptomyces leeuwenhoekii. RNAcentral describes it as "bacterial LSU rRNA". It matches the Rfam family "Bacterial large subunit ribosomal RNA", at positions 225 to 586 of the family's 2925-position model. Lineage: Bacteria; Bacillati; Actinomycetota; Actinomycetes; Kitasatosporales; Streptomycetaceae. The record is from RNAcentral.